CAGUCGCCACGGUAAUACAGAGGGUGCGAGCGUUAAUCGGAUUUACUGGGCGUAAAGCGUGCGUAGGCGGCUUUUUAAGUCGGAUGUGAAAUCCCUGAGCUUAACUUAGGAAUUGCAUUCGAUACUGGGAAGCUAGAGUAUGGGAGAGGAUGGUAGAAUUCCAGGUGUAGCGGUGAAAUGCGUAGAGAUCUGGAGGAAUACCGAUGGCGAAGGCAGCCAUCUGGCCUAAUACUGACGCUGAGGUACGAAAGCAUGGGGAGCAAACAGGAUUAGAUACCCCCUGUGUCCCUGUUUCUUAUAC
This 301-nucleotide ribosomal RNA is filed under the name uncultured bacterium. RNAcentral's name for it is "partial 16S ribosomal RNA". It matches the Rfam family "Bacterial small subunit ribosomal RNA", at positions 509 to 807 of the family's 1533-position model. The record is from RNAcentral.